RNAcentral lists this ribosomal RNA (976 nucleotides) under uncultured eukaryote. RNAcentral's name for it is "SSU rRNA". It matches the Rfam family "Eukaryotic small subunit ribosomal RNA", at positions 122 to 1119 of the family's 1831-position model. The record is from RNAcentral.
UGAUAUCGAAUUUACAUGGAUAACCGUGGUAAUUCUAGAGCUAAUACAUGCUGGUAGGCCCGACUUUUGCGGAAGGGCGGUAUUUAUUAGAUAACAAGCCAAUAUUCCUCUGGUCUAUUGUGGUGACUCAUAAUAACUGAUCGAACCGCAAGGCCUUUGGCCGCGAUAAGUCAUUCAAGUUUCUGCCCCAUCAGCUUUCGAUGGUAGUGUAUUGGACUACCAUGGCGUUUACGGGUAACGGAGGAUUAGGGUUCGAUUCCGGAGAGGGAGCCUGAGAAACGGCUACCACAUCUAAGGAAGGCAGCAGGCGCGUAAAUUACCCAAUCCUGACUCAGGGAGGUAGUGACAAGAAAUAACGGACCGAGGCCUUCGGGCUUCGGGAUUGGAAUGAGCCGAAUUUACACCCCUUAGCGAAGAUCGAUUGGAGGGCAAGUCUGGUGCCAGCAGCCGCGGUAAUUCCAGCUCCAAUAGCGUAUAUUAAAGUUGUUGCAGUUAAAAAGCUCGUAGUUGGAUUUCUGGGAGGGUGCCGAUGUCCACUUGACGUGUGCGCAGCGGCGCCCUCUCAUCCUUCUGUUAGCGUCUCUUGGCAUUCAUUUGCUGGUGGCGGGCUCAGAUAUUUUACCUUGAGAAAAUUAGAGUGUUUCAGGCAGGCUAGGCCGGAAUACAUUAGCAUGGAAUAAUGGAAUAGGACUACGGUCUCUUUGUUGGUUUGAGGGACUGCAGUAAUGAUUAAUAGGGAUAGUUGGGGGCAUUAGUACUUAACUGUCAGAGGUGGAAUUCUCAGAUUUGUUAAAGACUGACUUAUGCGAAAGCAUUUGCCAAGGAUGUUUUCAUUAAUCAAGAACGAAAGUUAGGGGAUCAAAGACGAUCGGAUACCGUCCUAGUCUUAACCAUAAACUAUGCCGACUCGGGAUUGGGGGCGUGUUCUAUCCGCCUUCAGCACCGUAUGAGAAAUCAAAGUCUUUGGGUUCUGGGG